RNAcentral lists this microRNA (22 nucleotides) under Gallus gallus (chicken). RNAcentral's name for it is "gga-miR-7447-3p". The record is from miRBase by way of RNAcentral. Lineage: Eukaryota; Metazoa; Chordata; Aves; Galliformes; Phasianidae.
UGAGCACUCAGCCCAACUCCUA